Molecule: long non-coding RNA, 489 nt
Organism: Centropristis striata (black sea bass)
Lineage: Eukaryota; Metazoa; Chordata; Actinopteri; Perciformes; Serranidae
Exons: 4
Source: RefSeq, a predicted model, not a curated record
CCUCAACACUGUUAGAGUUCCACCUCACCUGUUGAUCUCACUGCUCACUCUGCUCUCUCUGACACUCUCUGGAAAGGAUGAAGUGCUUUGUGAUCCUUCUGGUGCUGACGCUCGUCAUCUUCAUGUCUGAACCCACGGAGGGGCGGCGGGGCGGAGGCUCUAGAUCCCGUUGGUGGAAAAAAUGGCGAGGAAACCGAAGGACCAAUGAGAUUGUUCCCGUUUAUACCCCGCUGCAAGGAGGCGACGGCUCCCUACCUCCCACCGACGAUCAGGAUCUGGAGUUUUUUCUGGACUGAGCGUUCACGAAGAAACAACAUUUAAGUUUAAGUUCAAUGCAACUUAAAUGUGAAAUUCGGUGCUUUGCAAUGCAAGAAACCAAAAUUAGAUCAGCCAGAAACCACGCAGGCAUCAGCUCCACGUGGUUCUGAAAAAUGUGAAAUGCUUCUGCAAACUGUGAUGACAAAUAAAACUGCAAGAGAAAAAGUCAAA